GUAACACACAAUUAAACAACCAAUUGUUCGCCAAACAACUACGAGCUAUACUUAAAACUUAAAAGACUUGACGGUACUUCAUCACGGCCUAGAGGAGCCUGUCUAAUAACCGACAAUCCACGAUUAACCCAACCCCUUCUUGCCCAACAGUCUAUAUACCGCCGUCGCCAGCUUACCUUGUAAAAGAAAUAAAGUGAGCUAAAUAAUACAACACUAAAACGACAGGUCGAGGUGUAACUUAUGGAGGGGUCAAGAUGGGCUACAUUCUCUCCGAGAAUACGAAUAACACUAUGAAAUUAGUGCUUGAAGGCGGAUUUAGCAGUAAGCUAAGAAUAAAAUACUUAACUGAACAUAACGCAAUGAAGUGCGUACACACCGCCCGUCAUCCCUGCCAUCAU
RNAcentral lists this ribosomal RNA (398 nucleotides) under Gloydius brevicauda (short-tailed mamushi). RNAcentral's name for it is "partial 12S ribosomal RNA". Lineage: Eukaryota; Metazoa; Chordata; Lepidosauria; Squamata; Viperidae. The record is from RNAcentral.